Equus quagga is the source of this 1885-nucleotide long non-coding RNA. RefSeq lists it as uncharacterized. NCBI's taxonomy places the organism in Eukaryota, Metazoa, Chordata, Mammalia, Perissodactyla, Equidae. The transcript has 3 exons. The record is from RefSeq and is a predicted model, not a curated record.
GGUCCAUCCAAGUUAUUGCAAAUCCUUGGCCAAUCUUUUUGACCUCACGCCAGGGUCUUUUCUCUGUGUGGGUUUAUUGACCAGAGCUCCUACAUUAUCUAUUGACUAAAUUUUACAUUUCUUUAAAGCUGAAUAAGAACUUAAAUAUAUCUGCAAAGAAAUCUGAGUGUGAAAUCCUUCUGGAUUUUUACAAAAUGUUUACAGUUGUCUUGUCCACAUCUAUUUCGACAGGAUUAUCAUUUGAGUCAUUCCGAAGUCAUUCCAAAGUGGUCAAAUACAUGUUUAUAAAAACAACUCUCUCGCUGCACUCACUCUGAGAUACAGCUCAAAGCCUCAGAGCUCAGAGUGUGGCGCAGGUGAACAGCUGGGUUCAAACCCCGACGCAGUUACUUCCUAGCUGUAUGACCUUUGGUAAGUUACUUAACUUCCGCGCCUGUUGCCUAGCUGUAAAAUUGGGGUUUCGGCUAUUACUGCUGUUUCAUUUUUUAUGUCAUGUUAAGUGCAAUUAUGUAAUUACAACAAGUACAACUGCCACAAACAGGUUUGGGAACAAACAGCUGACUCUUGAUAAGCAUCCAACUUCACUGAUGAAGCGGAAGUACAAGGGUAUAUUAGAGACCAGCCCACUGGCUGGGAGCAUUUAGCAGGCCAAGUAUUAGUCAGUGUGUUUUACAGAAGGAACUGGGAAGCAUCAGGUAAGCCAGGGGUCAAUUAAGCCCAUGAUAGUUAAGAAGGACUUUACUGGCUUGCUCAUCAUCUGUCUCCAACCCUGGCUGCACAUUAGAAUCACCUGGCAUGUUACAAAGCACAGGGCUCCGAUAUGCCCAGAGACGGACGCAAGUGAUAUGAGGUGGAGCUUGGACACAGGCACUUAGAAAAGCUCCUAGAGAUUCUACAAAGAAGGCUAAAGACCGGCACACCAGAAUGUAAGCUCUGGGAGGGCAGGGCCUGCCCUCUUGGGUUCACUACUGCUCUCUUGGUUCACCACUGGACACGCAGCACCUCACGCAGUUCCCAGCCACAGCAGGCACUCGCAUCCUAUCUUUUAAAGGAGCAAUGGUGGCCACUAGGUUUCAAAUGCCAGGACACACAGGCUCCAUUCCCACUUCCUAGCUGCCCUAUCAACCAGUGGGUAGGAACCAAGCACACGAAGCAGCUGAGGCUGUGCCUGAGAGGCAGACAAAGGCACCGAGGGAGAAGUUAGGCCUCUGCAGGAACCCGGGGCCUCAAGGGUGACAAACGCUUCAACACAGAAAGUAGUUCCAGGAGGUGCCAGCAGGAGCUGCAGUUAAUCAUUUACCUGGCACCACAGGAAGGGGGCAGCCUGUGUGGCAGUUUCUGCCCCAGGGCUUCCCAAGCUCCAGGCAGGGCCUUUCAGUCGACAAGUCAUCUAGACAGAGAGGAGGGGCCGGACCCAGCCACGGGUGAGGCGGAUCUACCUCUGUCCCCACCCACCCCAAGUCUGACUUCUCUCAGCGAGGACACCUCAACACACGUGCCCUGAGCAGCCCCGCAAAACGACAUCACAAAAGGGCAGAACACAGCUGAGGGGUCGCUUCUUCAAGUCAGGGUGCAGCUCUGGUCACCUGGUGCCUCUUCAGCUCAAGCCCCGCAAAGCGUGGGGCCUGAAGCAUUCCCUGAUCCGCCUGUUCUUAGGAGACGGGAGUGUUAACAGCAGAACCAGAGGAGGAAAGUCCAUUUGCCGCUUGCUGGAGGCAAUGAGCCCAAAGACCCGCCAUCCCUGCAGUGUCCACCAGGUGCACAGGUGGGCCAGCUGUUCUCUGAGAUUGCUCCAGAGGGCACAGUUGGGGGGUAGAGAGCAGCGCCUGGGACAGGGCCUUGGAAAGGCCCCUGUACUCAGGGCCUCUGUCCCUUCUUUUCUAGG